RNAcentral lists this ribosomal RNA (332 nucleotides) under uncultured bacterium. Its description in RNAcentral is "bacterial SSU rRNA". It matches the Rfam family "Bacterial small subunit ribosomal RNA", at positions 568 to 898 of the family's 1533-position model. The record is from RNAcentral.
UGCGUAGGCGGCCCGGAAAGUUGGGUGUGAAAGCCCUCGGCUCAACCGAGGAAUUGCGCCCAAAACUACCGGGCUCGAGGAAGAUAGAGGUAAGCGGAACUUAGGGUGGAGCGGUGAAAUGCGUUGAUAUCCUAAGGAACACCAGGAGCGAAAGCGGCUUACUGGGUCUUUACUGACGCUGAGGCACGAAAGCUAGGGGAGCGAACGGGAUUAGAUACCCCGGUAGUCCUAGCCGUAAACGAUGAGCACUGGAUUGGAGGGUCCCCCAUAACCUUCUAGUCGUAGCGAAAGUGUUAAGUGCUCCGCCUGGGGAGUAUGGUCGCAAGGCUGAA